Molecule: long non-coding RNA, 1912 nt
Filed under: Paramuricea clavata
Lineage: Eukaryota; Metazoa; Cnidaria; Anthozoa; Malacalcyonacea; Plexauridae
Source: RNAcentral
UGCAGUUGGUGGUUUUGAUGAUUCUCUUCCCUUGCAAUCAGCAGAGCGAUAUAAUCCACAAACAAACACAUGGAGUGUUAUAUCAAAUAUGAAUUGUUGUCGAGGUGGAGUUGGUGUUUGUACCAUGGGAAGAAUGGUAUGGGCUGUUGGUGGCCAUGAUGGUGGAAGUUACUUGAAUACCGUCGAGUAUUAUGACAUACAGGCAGACACAUGGCAGUUUGUUGCUUCAAUGGAAGUUGGUCGUGCUGGAGCUGGUGUUAUUGCAUGUAAAUGUAAUAUUGAAAAGUUUGGCAAAACGUAUGCUAUGGCUGAAACAGCCAUGGUGUAAAGCCAGGCUUUAAUGCAGUCAACCCGCCAGGGAAAUGGCGUCGUAUGAAUGACAUUAUUACUGUAUUUAUAGUCAUGAAUAUUGGCAUUUGCACAUAGCAACAUAGUAAUUUGCUUCCCAUCUCACUCCUAUACAGUGAGCUCGAUAUAUAUAUAUAUAUAUAUAUAUAUAUAUAUAUAUAUAUAUAUAUAUAUAUAUAUAUAUAUAUAUAUAUAUAUAUAUAUAUAUAUAUAUAUCAGACAGAAACAAUAGAAAGGGACGUCCAAUAGUUCUUCAAUUUCCGCUUCACUUUUUGGACUCGAGUUCUCUCUACAAUUUGGAACGGUUCCAAAAUCUUGCACUACAUAUGCAUUUAUUAGUAUUUCUUGAUACGCGGAAAAGUACUGGCACUAGUUGUCAAAUAGAAAUCCAUUUUAUGAUUAAAACAACUGAAUAUCUCCUGUAAUAUACUUUAUUUCGAUUCCAUAUUUUUGUCAGAGCUAUAGUUCUUAUAACCAAACAUAAUUACAAAAUUUCAACUAGUUUCAUAAAGAAUAACGAAAGAUAUAAUUGACUGAAUACAUCAAAAUGGAUUUCUAUUCGGACAACCCUUUCUGAGCGCUGAUUGGCUAAAAUACGAACACGAGAUCACCUGGUAUGCUACACAGACACAAAAUACAGACUGUAACAGCUCAACAACUGGAGUUAUAUUAAUAGUUUUGUUUGUGGAAACACCACGCAAACAUACAAAGAACUUAUUAGAGUUAUAUUGUUCGACCAUAGUUAGGUUUGACUUUCACAAAGCCUUUGAUUUGAUAGAUGAUAAUAUUUUAGCGAAGAAGCAGCCCCCACCCUCUCAUACGCCUAUGUGCACGUGUACCUAUAUUUAAAUUCGCGUAGUACUACUGUACUUUUAAGGAGUAAGUUGACACUUUUGCAAAUAAUAUUUCGUCGUAAUCAUACUCUAGGAGUAGGAUAGUAUGAAACUACGUUUUUCCUAUAUCUCUGAGGAUGGUUCUGAAAUAGAACUGAAUCACUGCGCGUCUCCAAAACAAGCGUUAAGUCGUCACGAAAAUAUUUUGUGCACUUAGACCCCGUUUACACGGUACCGGACGAAUUUGGGACCGGUCUGAAAUUCGUUCUUUUCGGCCGUGUAAACACACGAGAACUACGGAACCGGACGAAUUUGAGACCCCUAACAGACAGGACGAAUUCGCGUGUAAACAGGCGAAAAAGGACGAAUUUCAGACCGGUCGCAAAUUCGUCCAGUACCGUGUAAGAAUGGCUACCAAUCCCCGUUGACUUGAUAGCUCAACCAAAUUUCGUUGUACUCAGGCACAGAACACAGAUGAGGUAAAUACAGAUAUGAAUCUCCCCAUUCUCCCGUCAAAUUGCUGAUUGUUUUGUGUCACACGGAAUUCGCACUUCCGGCGAGCGCUGGCAAGUGUCGUUCUGAAACAGGGCUCUCAGUUUUAAGGAAAUUUCCUUAAACUGAGGAAAUUAUCAGUUUUUAAGGAGACUUUUAAGGAAAUAGAAGUUUUAAGGAAUUUCUAAGGAAUUUUUAGUUUUUACCUAAUAUUUGAAAAUAUUGAAAUAAUAUUUAAA